Varanus komodoensis (Komodo dragon) is the source of this 877-nucleotide long non-coding RNA. RefSeq lists it as uncharacterized. Lineage: Eukaryota; Metazoa; Chordata; Lepidosauria; Squamata; Varanidae. The record is from RefSeq and is a predicted model, not a curated record. The transcript has 3 exons.
AACACCAAACUCUCCUUGCCAGAAGUGAAAGGAGAUGCAUCACUUGAAGCUUCCUGAAAUCUGGGCACAAGAAAUGCACAAGUUCUUCUCAAGAACACAGAAAGAGGAAGAAAUUGACUCCUGUGUGACUGAAUUGAAGAAUUCUUUGUGGAACAAGAUCAGCUGACCUGGAAAGGCAAGGACUCAUUUGACCUUUGCCACUGCGCCCCCACCCUCCACUUCUAAGCUAACCAUCUAACCAUGGACCUUCCUUGUGAACAGUAGAUCCUGCAUGGACAUACAACAUCUCUCCUUCAUGCAAGUCACAUCUGGAUUGUUUGUUUGAACCUUGCAUCAAAGGGGAGACAAGUACAUCUUUAAUCUGAGUGAUGGCAGCGGGGGAAGGUGCAACUCAAAGAGUUUGCAUCUUAUCAGAAAUGUUCAUGGUAGAGGAAAACCAGGCCAACUGCACAGCCUCUUGCCCUGCCCUCUUCUGCGCUGUCUCCUUGCAGAUCAAGACCUGGGCGGUGCUGUGUCACUGGCACCCCUCACCCUUCAGCCCAGAGCCUCCUGUCUCUCUCUGUCUGCCAUUUACUUUCACUAAUUUGUUUGUGCAUUCACUGUCUCAUACAUUUCUCUAGGUAUUUUACUAUCAUGAUAAAAUAGGAAUAAAAUCAACAGUAUAAAACAAAAGAUGCAUAAAAUGCACUAUCACAUUGCAGGAACUAGGAUAACAAACCACAAAAAUAUUAACACAUUUUAAAGGACAUUGGAGAUGUUUUAAAGCCCGGGAAAACAGUGCUAAGAUGGCAGUGUGGUUGCUGGGCCUGCUUCCCUUGGGAGAGCUUCCUAGCAUAAGGGGCACUUGAAGAAGGGCUUCUGUGGACUAGGUAUGGGC